AACGCGAAUAAAAAAAGGACUCAUAUAAAUCUCAAAUAUGGUGGGAUGUUUCUACUGGAAACCUUAAAUUUUCAGCUAUGAGUGAGCUUAAUAUAUAU
This 98-nucleotide non-coding RNA is filed under the name Clostridium celatum. RNAcentral's name for it is "Guanine sequence". It matches the Rfam family "Purine riboswitch aptamer". Rfam says of the family: Riboswitches are metabolite binding domains within certain messenger RNAs that serve as precision sensors for their corresponding targets. Allosteric rearrangement of mRNA structure is mediated by ligand binding, and this results in modulation of gene expression. RNAcentral also lists the same sequence under 1 other name. Lineage: Bacteria; Bacillati; Bacillota; Clostridia; Eubacteriales; Clostridiaceae. The record is from RNAcentral.